Molecule: ribosomal RNA, 497 nt
Filed under: uncultured bacterium
Lineage: Bacteria
Description: partial 16S ribosomal RNA
Rfam family: Bacterial small subunit ribosomal RNA
Source: RNAcentral
GACGAACGCUGGCGGCGUGCCUAAUACAUGCAAGUUGAGCGCUGAAGGUUGGUACUUGUACCAACUGGAUGAGCAGCGAACGGGUGAGUAACGCGUGGGGAAUCUGCCUUUGAGCGGGGGACAACAUUUGGAAACGAAUGCUAAUACCGCAUAAAAACUUUAAACACAAGUUUUAAGUUUGAAAGAUGCAAUUGCAUCACUCAAAGAUGAUCCCGCGUUGUAUUAGCUAGUUGGUUAGGUAAAGGCUCACCAAGGCGAUGAUACAUAGCCGACCUGAGAGGGUGGUCGGCCACAUUGGGACUGGGACACGGCCCAAACUCCUACGGGAGGCAGCAGGAGGGAAUCUUCGGCAAUGGACGAAAGUCUGACCGAGCAACGCCGCGGGAGUGAAGAAGGUUUUCGGAUCGUAAAACUCUGUUGGUAGAGAAGAACGUUGGUGAGAGUGGAAAGCUCAUCAAGUGACGGUAACUACCCAGAAAGGGACGGCUAACUACGUG